Molecule: non-coding RNA, 73 nt
Organism: Pectinophora gossypiella (pink bollworm)
Lineage: Eukaryota; Metazoa; Arthropoda; Insecta; Lepidoptera; Gelechiidae
Source: the annotation of a RefSeq genome assembly
GCCUCCGUGGUCUAGUGGUUAGAGCGUUAGGCUCAAGAUCCAGAGGUCCCGGGUUCGAUUCCCGGUGGGGACA